UGUAGCUGCUUGCCUGAUCUCCUCUAGAGAUCACAGCUUGAGUCCUUACAUGAAAAAUGUUCUCUCCACCAUGUCUGACAGUCUAAACCUGGCAACGCUCUACCUGCUGAGUACAACCCUCCAGGUAUACAGAAGAUAGAAGGACCUCUCAUGACUUGCUCAAGGGCUACGAUGCUUUCUUCAGAGAUUGAUCUUUUUGGCGAGACAAACUCAAAAAAAUAUAUGUAAUUAUACAAUUGAUGAAGUCUGAUUCCUUUAAAGCAGAAAUCUGAGAGAUGAGAAUGCCCUUUAAUUUGCAACACACUUCAUGUUGGUAUGGUAUCAUUUGUUGUCAUGUUGUAUAUGUUAUCACAUUGUGAGGCUAAAUUUAUUCAUAUUUCUGAAGGACUUUGGGAUCUCUGAAUAUUUUAUAUACAGGUGUUCAGAAGUACUAUUAUGAACAAAAAGCUGCCACUAGCUAUAGACAAGAUGCAUAUUUUCUUUCUACUCUGCCUUGCAUUUCAAUUUCUGUUAAAUAAAAUAUAUUUUUGUUCUCAAUGUGCUGAAAUAUGGAAUAGACCUCAUGAGCUCCGUUUUUAAGCUUCUUCCAGAAUGCAUGCAGGUUUCCAUUGGAUAAUGGCAUUUCUAUAACUGUAGAAUCACAGAAAGCCGGGAUCUUGCCAGUAAGGAAGCCUAAGUAUUAAAGGAUUACAGUGGGAUACUGAGAAAUAUCUGUUCAGAUAUGGUGUUUGUCACUUUUGCAAAGCUUUGACAUAUGUUUGGAGUCUUCUGGGCAAUUAGAAAAUCUCUUCCUAUAAUUAAUGCUUUGGAUGUCUUUUGCUCUUUAAAUCCAUAGUAGCAAUUGCCUUUGCUUCAGUUUAAGACAGAGUACAUAAAUCAGAUUCACACCGAAGAGCUUUCUCUAAUUUUUCAGAAGUGCUUGUGUACCUCUACAGUACGAAAUGGGUAUUAACUCCACUGAAUAACACUAUAUCAUAAAUAGGUUGAAUCAGAGUUCUCUACUGAUUGCCACUGAAUAACGUACUGAAGACAAAAUCAACACAAUUUAGUGCUCUUGGAAAAUGUAUGGAAAAAUAUGGUGGUUUCUCUCAGUGGGUAUUCUUCAAAACUCCAUUAAGUUUAUCUGAAUAUGUGGUGCUGCUCUUUCUAGAAACUCCGCAGUAUUUUUUCCCUUGUAGCAUUAAUGUGUAGGAAACAAAACUUUCACCAUCAAGAGAAGCAUUUAGCCAGAAACUUUAAAAUUGAUUCAAAGAAGAAAAGCGUCGCUGAAUUGGUUUACUGUCCUUUCCCUUCUGCAGAUGUAAGGCUGAAUACUGAG
Molecule: non-coding RNA, 1318 nt
Organism: Coturnix japonica (Japanese quail)
Lineage: Eukaryota; Metazoa; Chordata; Aves; Galliformes; Phasianidae
Source: RefSeq, a predicted model, not a curated record